CAGUCGCCGCGGGAAUACGUAGGUGGCAAGCGUUGUCCGGAAUUAUUGGGCGUGAAGGGCUCGCAGGCGGUUUCUUAAGUCUGAUGUGAAAGCCCCCGGCUCAACCGGGGAGGGUCAUUGGAAGCUGGGAAACUUGAGUGCAGAAGAGGAGAGUGGAAUUCCACGUGUAGCGGUGAAAUGCGUAGAGAUGUGGAGGAACACCAGUGGCGAAGGCGACUCUCUGGUCUGUAACUGACGCUGAGGAGCGAAAGCGUGGGGAGCGAACAGGAUUAGAUACCCGUGUAGUCCCUGUCUCUUAUAC
Molecule: ribosomal RNA, 301 nt
Filed under: uncultured bacterium
Lineage: Bacteria
Description: partial 16S ribosomal RNA
Rfam family: Bacterial small subunit ribosomal RNA
Source: RNAcentral